This 534-nucleotide ribosomal RNA is filed under the name Trichoderma fertile. RNAcentral's name for it is "partial small subunit ribosomal RNA". The record is from RNAcentral. Lineage: Eukaryota; Fungi; Ascomycota; Sordariomycetes; Hypocreales; Hypocreaceae.
UGCCACAUUACUCUUGAGGUGAAAUGCUUACACUUUCAUUUAUAGACCAAAUAAUGUUUAAUAUUUAAUUUUAAAUUAUAAUAUUAAAUCUUAAUCUAACCUAUGGCAUUCAUCAUUUACUGCAAAGACUACUUGGGUAUCUAAUCCUGUUUGUGCUCUGUGCCUUCGUCCUUUAACGUCNGUUUUUACAUAGAGGGCUGCCUUCGCCUUUACCGAGUCCCUUUGGUAUCAUAGAAUUUCAUCUCUCCUCCUCAAGUACUGCCCUCUUACAUAAAACUCUAGUCAAGUACUAACAUUUUAGAAGCUAUAUUGACCGUCUAGGUACCCUUUAAACCUAAUUAAGAUGAAUAACACUAGUCUCUUACGUAUUACCGCGACUGCUGGCACGCAAUUAGUCAAGACACGAUAUAUAUACUGUCAUUAUCAAUAUAUAAACAAAGCUUUAUUCAAUUUUAAUACAACCCUAUAGAUCAUAUUCAAAGAUAUGAUCAAAAUAGGGCUUGCCACUUCUCCAAGUUGCCAGUUCAGCCGUUA